GAACCUUCGGGAAGGAUCAUUG
This 22-nucleotide ribosomal RNA is filed under the name Acacia dempsteri. RNAcentral describes it as "partial small subunit ribosomal RNA". The record is from RNAcentral. Lineage: Eukaryota; Viridiplantae; Streptophyta; Magnoliopsida; Fabales; Fabaceae.